Molecule: ribosomal RNA, 254 nt
Filed under: uncultured bacterium
Lineage: Bacteria
Description: partial 16S ribosomal RNA
Rfam family: Bacterial small subunit ribosomal RNA
Source: RNAcentral
UACGUAGGGCGCAAGCGUUGUCCGGAAUUAUUGGGCGUAAAGAGCUCGUAGGCGGUUUGUCGCGUCUGCCGUGAAAACCCGAGGCUUAACCUCGUGGCUUGCGGUGGAUACGGGCAGACUAGAGUUCGGUAGGGGAGACUGGAAUUCCUGGUGUAGCGGUGAAAUGCGCAGAUAUCAGGAGGAACACCGGUGGCGAAGGCGGGUCUCUGGGCCGAUACUGACGCUGAGGAGCGAAAGCGUGGGGAGCGAACAGG